Molecule: ribosomal RNA, 955 nt
Filed under: uncultured bacterium
Lineage: Bacteria
Description: partial 16S ribosomal RNA
Rfam family: Bacterial small subunit ribosomal RNA
Source: RNAcentral
GAGUNNNUUUNNNUAAGUCCAGAUGNGAAAAGNNCCCGGGGNUCCNNCCUNGGGANUUGCCAUUUUGAAACCUGGNNAACUAGAGNUACUGUUAGANGGGGGGUAGAAUUUUCAGGNNGUAGGCGGGUGAAAUGCCGUAGAGAUCUGAAAGGAAAUACCNNGUGGGCGAAGGCGGCCCCCCUGGACAGAUACUGACACUCAGAUGCGAAAGCGUGGGGAGCAAAACAGGAUUAGAUACCCCUGGUAGUCCACGCCGUAAACGAUGUCUACUUGGAGGUUGUGGCCUUGAGCCGUGGCUUUCGGAGCUAACGCGUUAAGUAGACCGCCUGGGGAGUACGGUCGCAAGAUUAAAGCUCAAAUGAAUUGACGGGGGCCCGCACAAGCGGUGGAGCAUGUGGUUUAAUNNAAUGCAACGCGAAGAACCUUACCUACUCUUGACAUCUACAGAAGCCAGCGGAGACGCAGGUGUGCCUUCGGGAACUGUAAGACAGGUGCUGCAUGGCUGUCGUCAGCUCGUGUUGUGAAAUGUUGGGUUAAGUCCCGCAACGAGCGCAACCCUUAUCCUUGUUUGCCAGCACUUCGGGUGGGAACUCCAGGGAGACUGCCGGUGAUAAACCGGAGGAAGGUGGGGACGACGUCAGGUCAUCAUGGCCCUUACGAGUAGGGCUACACACGUGCUACAAUGGCGCAUACAGAGGGCAGCCAACUUGCGAAAGUGAGCGAAUCCCAAAAAGUGCGUCGUAGUCCGGAUUGGAGUCUGCAACUCGACUCCAUGAAGUCGGAAUCGCUAGUAAUCGUGGAUCAGAAUGCCACGGUGAAUACGUUCCCGGGCCUUGUACACACCGCCCGUCACACCAUGGGAGUGGGCUGCAAAAGAAGUGGGUAGUUUAACCUUCGGGAGGACGCUCACCACUUUGUGGUUCAUGNCUGGGNNGAAGUCGUAACAAGGUAACCG